CCUACGGGUGGCAGCAGUGGGGAAUAUUGCACAAUGGGGGAAACCCUGAUGCAGCGACGCCGCGGGAGUGAAGAAGUAUCUCGGUACGUAAAGCUCUAUCAGCAGGGAAGAAAAUGACGGUACCUGACUAAGAAGCCCCGGCUAACUACGUGCCAGCAGCCGCGGUAAUACGUAGGGGGCAAGCGUUAUCCGGAUUUACUGGGUGUAAAGGGAGCGUAGACGGCAGAACAAGUCUGGAGUGAAAUCCCGGUGGUUAACCCCGGAACUGCUUUGGAAAAUGGGCGGCUGGAGUGCAGGAGGGGUAAGCGGAAUUCCUAGUGUAGCGGUGAUAUGCGUAGAUAUUAGGAGGAACACCGGUGGCGAAGGCGGCUUAGUGGACUGUAACGGACGUUGAGGCUCGAAAGCGGGGGGAGCAAACAGGAUUAGAUACCCGAGUAGUC
This 440-nucleotide ribosomal RNA is filed under the name uncultured bacterium. RNAcentral's name for it is "partial 16S ribosomal RNA". It matches the Rfam family "Bacterial small subunit ribosomal RNA", at positions 338 to 795 of the family's 1533-position model. The record is from RNAcentral.